UAAGUAAGUGGUGGAAAUUAAACCAAAUGGGAUAUCUUUAGUAAUUGCGAAUGAACAAGGAUAUGCUUAGCUUGACAAAUGGAGCUAUUGGCUUUGAAUUGUAUUGUGGAAAUGUAUUACCAACAGAGGUGCAGGUGCCAGCCUAUUGAAAUAAAGCGUCAAUGAGGGUGAGAAUCCUGUUUGUCAUGUGCAGCCCUUUGUGCACGGUGUAUAUUUGCUGAGUCACACUCCUUGGCAUUGGAAUGCAAAGUGGGUGGUAAGUUUCAUGUAAAGGUAAACAUGCAAUUGAGACUGAUAGCACACAAGUACCAUGAGGGAAAUAUGAAAAGGACUUUGAAAAAAGAAUUAAAUGAGUUUGUAUUUGCUGAACACAAAGUAAACAGACUUGAUUUGCUUGGUGGGAGUGUUGCACUUGCUUGACAAGAGCUUUGGGCUGUGGGUGUAAUGAUUCUUUCUUUGCAUGCCAGUUUCUAUUUGUACAUCUGAUUACCUUUGCACAUGAAUGAUAAGUCUCCUGUGGGGGGUGGAUUGCAUGUGCAUGUAAUGAUUUGUGUUUUGAUAAAUGUGUCUGGUGUAUGUGUGUGUUCCUGUGCUUGGGGAUGCUUCCUUCCUUGGACCUACAAGCCCUGACACACACAUGCUGGCAAAAUGCUUCUGCUUGACCCG
Molecule: ribosomal RNA, 666 nt
Filed under: Alexandrium tamarense
Lineage: Eukaryota; Dinophyceae; Gonyaulacales; Pyrocystaceae
Description: eukaryotic LSU rRNA
Rfam family: Eukaryotic large subunit ribosomal RNA
Source: RNAcentral